Non-coding RNA from Citrus sinensis (sweet orange), 108 nucleotides. The record is from Rfam. Lineage: Eukaryota; Viridiplantae; Streptophyta; Magnoliopsida; Sapindales; Rutaceae.
GGAAUUUUAGGAACAAUCUCUUCUGUAAAAUUAAAUUGAUACAUAAAAGAUUAGCAAGACCCCUGUACUAGGAUAACAUGAGCAAAUCAGGAAAGAGUCUAAAGAAAU